Regulatory RNA element from Knoellia subterranea KCTC 19937, 79 nucleotides. It matches the Rfam family "ZMP/ZTP riboswitch aptamer (pfl RNA motif)". From Rfam's summary of the family: Previously known as pfl RNA. ZMP is also known as AICAR. The record is from Rfam. Lineage: Bacteria; Bacillati; Actinomycetota; Actinomycetes; Micrococcales; Intrasporangiaceae.
AUCCGGAGUGACGACUGGCGCAGGUGGACCACCACCGGGGAGUCACAUGGGAGUUGCAUCGCCCGCCUGGGUGCACCCG